UACGGGGGGGGCAAGCGUUGUUCGGAAUUACUGGGCGUAAAGGGCUCGUAGGCGGCCAACUAAGUCGGACGUGAAAGCCCUCGGCUUAACCGAGGAACUGCGUCCGAUACUGGAUGGCUUGAGGUUGGGAGAGGGAUGCGGAAUUCCAGGUGUAGCGGUGAAAUGCGUAGAUAUCUGGAGGAACACCGGUGGCGAAGGCGGCAUCCUGGACCAAUUCUGACGCUGAGUGAGCGAAAGCCAGGGGAGCAAACGGG
Molecule: ribosomal RNA, 254 nt
Filed under: uncultured bacterium
Lineage: Bacteria
Also listed under: 1 other name
Description: partial 16S ribosomal RNA
Rfam family: Bacterial small subunit ribosomal RNA
Source: RNAcentral